Non-coding RNA from Drosophila melanogaster (fruit fly), 299 nucleotides. NCBI's taxonomy places the organism in Eukaryota, Metazoa, Arthropoda, Insecta, Diptera, Drosophilidae. The record is from Ensembl.
GCCAAAACGCUAAAAAGCCAAAAAAGAAAGAAACCGAAAAGAUCGAGACACCUACAGCAUGAAUUUAUGGCCAGGCGAUAAGCGCCGGCCAGGAGGAAAAUCCGCCUGGUGCCCAAAAUUGGACAAGGAACGUGUGCGUCAGACGGGCGGAGAAUUUAGUAGCUGUCAAGGCAUCAGCUGUGGCCCCUGGAAACACCUACAAAGCCACGAAUCCCAAGUUGAAGCCAAGUCGGAGCGAACCUAAGGCCAAAGUCGGAGCAAGAGUUGAGACGUCGGCGCACGCAAGGAGUGAGCCACAG